Doryrhamphus excisus (bluestripe pipefish) is the source of this 7268-nucleotide non-coding RNA. Lineage: Eukaryota; Metazoa; Chordata; Actinopteri; Syngnathiformes; Syngnathidae. The record is from RefSeq and is a predicted model, not a curated record.
GCGGCGUGAUGCCUCACCUCACGUUUAAACGAUCUUUGUCCGGUACAAAGACGCCACAGAACGAACGCGAGAGGCUUCAGUGCUGUGUGUGUGUUAUUUGGAACGGGACUUGAGUGCUACCGGCGAACAAUUGGACAUAUUGAACUCACAGUACAUGCGGGCUUUGUUUUGACCACGCAAAGCGUCAAAUACGUCACUCCUCGUCAGCUCCCGUCUAACGUGCUGGGCUGUCACUCAAACACCAGGACACCGGAAAAGGAGGUGACAACAAGUGACAGGAGCACAGAUUGACAGGAGACACACCUGGAUUAGUUUCGACCAAUGAAUGGCGAUGAAAUCAAGGCGCCAUGGGCUUGGAGCUGGACAAAUGGACUGGGGGCCUUGUCUAAGGUUGUCUGACCUUCUAUCGUUCACCUGAGAACAGCGUCUGUGUUGGAAAACGACAUUUCUCAGGCUUAUCUGAGAAGCAUCUCAGGCUGGACCUUUGAGGACACAAGCCGGGUGUUAAAGGACCGCCAUGGGGGAGACAGCGGAAUACCAAAGACUACAGGAGACCUCGGAAUCUGACUACAACUGUGUACCCAGCGAUGAUGAAGAGAAACUGGGCACUAGCAUGCAGUGUGAGGAAGGUACAGAAUGGCUACUGGAGCUGUUGAUCGAAGUGCAGUUGCAGCAAUACUUCCUGCGAAUCAGAGAUGACCUAAACGUCACACGGUUAUCCCAUUUCGACUAUGUCAAGAAUGAAGACCUUGAGAAGAUUGGUAUGGGUCGACCCGGGCAGAGACGACUGUGGGAGGCUGUGAAGAGGAGGAAAGCAAUGUGCAAGCGCAAGUCCUGGAUGAGCAAGGUUUUUAGCGGCAAACGUUUAGAUGGAGCAGAUUUUUCCCAGCAAGGCCAGCCCGCCUCCUCCUUCCGCAAGAUGUCUCCCAUACCUCCCCUGGGCCUGAUGGAGGGGGUCCUGGCCACGCAGCCCCCUGGAGGUGCACCUCUCGAUGGCCAGCAGCAGGCUCUAACCUGCCUCAUCCCUGAAAAGGACCUGGUGUUGCUUGAGAAGCUGGGGGAUGGAUCUUUCGGUGUCGUGAAGAGAGGAGAGUGGCUGACUCCUGCAGGGAAUAUGAUUAACGUCGCUGUAAAAUGUCUGAAAACAGAUGUGCUCACCCAACCUGAUGCUCUGGAGGACUUCAUCUGUGAGGUCAACGCCAUGCACUCUCUGGACCACCAGAACCUCAUUCGCCUCUACGGUGUGGUGCUCACACACCCAAUGAAAAUGGUGACCGAGCUCGCUCCACUGGGUUCUCUGCUGGAUCGCUUGCGGUGCAUCCGUCCACAGGGCCCGGUGUUGAUCCAUACACUGUGUCAGUAUGCCGUGCAAGUGGCCUGUGGCAUGGCCUAUCUGGAGCACAGGAGGUUUAUCCAUCGAGAUCUAGCGGCCAGGAACAUUCUGUUGGCUUCAGCUCAUAGGGUGAAGAUUGGUGACUUUGGCCUGAUGAGGGCGCUGCCGAACAACCAUGAGCAUUAUGUCAUGCAGGAGCACAGGAAGGUUCCCUUUGCAUGGUGUGCCCCCGAGAGUCUGAAGACUAGAACGUUCUCCCAUGCCACCGACACAUGGAUGUUUGGUGUGACUCUAUGGGAGAUGUUCACGCAUGGCCAAGAGCCUUGGUUAGGCCUUAAUGGCAGCCAGAUCCUGCAUAAGAUUGAUAAAGAAGGUGAACGCCUCCCAAAGCCAGAGGACUGUCCACAGGAUAUCUACAACGUCAUGUUGCAGUGUUGGGCGCAGAAACCAGAUGACAGACCCACGUUUGUGGCUCUGCGAGAGUUCCUGCUUGAGUCCAUGCCGACAGACAUGUGCGCUCUGCAGGACUUUGAUGAGCAGGACAAGCUGCGGAUUCAGGUUGAUGAUGUCAUCACCAUCAUUGAGGGCAGAGCGGAGAACUAUUGGUGGCGUGGUCAGAACACACGUACUCUUAAAGUGGGACAGUUCCCCAGGAACGUGGUGACAUCGGUGGCGGGUUUGUCGGCUCAUGACAUCAGCCGACCUCUGAAGAACAGCUUCAUCCAUACGGGCCAUGGAGAUGCUAACCCUCAUCGCUGCUGGGGCUUUCCAGACAGGAUUGAAGAGUUGUAUCUUGGGAAUCCCAUGGAUCCUCCUGAUGUUCUUGGUUUGGACCUCAGUGCCGCUCGGCCCACUCAGCUACCAGGACGAGCUAAAAAGGAGCCUCCUCCGCGCCCUCCUCAGCCAGCAGUGUUAAUCAAGAGUAAGUCUGCUUUCUCUCAGCAGCUCCUCACCCAUUGCUCCUGCCCUCUCUGUUCCCUUCUAGCUCCACUCUUCAAAGAGCCUUGUUAUGAUCCGGUGAAUGAGGAUGAUGAUGACUUGACAUCUGCAGGAUUGAAGAAGCUGUCACUACAGAAAACCAGCUCUGUCAAAGGCCUCAAACUUAAACCAACAGCAUGGGUCUCCUCCUCCAAACAGGGGAGCGACAAGAACCCUCAUCCUUGCAGCGAAGUGUCCCUCAUUGACUUUGAGGAGGAGUUCUCCCCACCUACGCCUUCCCCGUCAUCCGUGGUCGAAAUCCCAAUCCCGUGUCUGGCAAAGCUAGCUUUGCAAGCGGAGAAUCUCUUGGACAGGACGCCAUCUCAGAGUCCGUCUAAAUCUUUGCCCCGCCCACUCCACCCCACGCCGGUUGUGGACUGGGAUGCUCGACCCUUACCCCCGCCCCCGGCGUAUGAUGAUGUCGCCCAAGAUGAAGACGAUAUGGAGGUGAGUUCCAUCAACAGCACGGAACAGCAUCACGAUGAAGAGCCAACUGAUGUCCCCAACCCAGAAGCCAGUGUUUCCACAGUUCCAGACAAACAAGGCCUGGAGGAUAACCUCUUUCUCCGCAGCAAUCCCAGCCAGGUCCUCACUACCUCAUUCUGCCAGUCUGCAGAAAUAUUCCACGAACUGCAGCAAGAGUGCAUGAAGAGGCUCAAUGUGCCGACAUCUGCCUCGUGUCUGCAGACACCCCACCACCAUGGACACCCCUCGUCCACCGAGGAUAAACCCCAGAUCCCCCCUCGUGUUCCUAUUCCCCCUCGCCCAAUUAAAAAAGGCGACUACUCAUCUCCUCGUUGGUCGAGAGACCUCUCCCUGUCUCCGACCCCAGCUGACGUCACAGAAGACAUUUCAAGCUCAGAACAGGAUCGGCCACCGCAGAUCCCUCCCAGGGAACCGUUGUCACAACCCGGCUCCAGGACCCCCAGCCCCUUGGGUCUAGUAGUGGGCUCCCCGCAGCAGAGAGUGUACUCCGUCAGCCCCACAACCACACAAGUUCCUCUCAACACUUGCCCCUCCACACACACCUACAGCUCCUACCUCUCUACCUCUCCGAGUAAAUUCAUGCCGACCACACACAGCUUCGCGUCUGAUCCCAAAUAUACGGCACCCAAAGUGAUUCAAGCACAGGGGAAGGAAUUAUCGAACAAGGGCCCCUGCAUCCUACCUAUAGUCCGUGAUGGACGUAAAGUCAGUAACACUCACUAUUACCUUCUGCCAGAGAGGCCGCCCUACCUCGACCGAUACGAUCGCUUCUUCAGGGAGGCUGAGAGCUUGAGUGGAAACAGUGUGGAUGACAGGCACACACGUCAACCUAACACUGCUACCGUUCGACCCCUGGUGCUCAGCAGCCAGACUUGGCAGGGGCAUGGCCAAGGAGAGGCCGUUGUCCCACUGGGAGAGCUGAAGGCUAAUUUCUCCUCUAACAAUAGCAGCAGUCUUGGACUACGGACAGGAAUGAAGACAUCAGUUAGUCUCUCCGGUAUCAGCGGGGAGAGUUUGACAGCACCAGCAGGCACUGCAACCUGUCCCAGGACGGACGGAUUGGGAAACCCAGCUGACAGAGUCAGAAUGGUGCAGGAAGCAGUUCACGGUGUGACGAUAGAAGAGUGCCGAGCAGCACUGCAGAACCACAACUGGAAUGUUCAGAAAGCUGUGCAUUACCUGAAGGUGGAGCAGUUGUUCUGUUUGGGUCUGAGGAGCAGGUCGGAGUGUCUAAAGCUGCUGGAGAUGUGUGACUGGAACCUAGAGGAAGCCAGUACGCAGAUGUUGGAUAAUUAUGGCUCUACAACGCAACAGAGACGGUGACAGACAUCUCAGGCUGCAGAGUCCUGAUUGGAACUUCAUCCUCAAUAAAACAUGGCCGACGCUGAUCCUGUGUGACCCCUCAGUCACAAGACUGUUAGAGCCUCAUUGUACAAGAAGUACGUCCAUUUGGUUAUUAAUAGGAGCGAAGGCACCGGAUGCUGAGACCCCUGCACAGAAAAGUAGUAAGUCAAAGUGUUAUUUCAGAACAUGAUACACAAAAGUUAUACUUUGAAUUUUCAAUGCGUCCUGACAAUUAAUUUGUAACCAAAAAUGCAGUAAUGCAUAUGAAUGUUGCCCCCAUGGCUUCACUGCCUCUGCAGACUAUAUUUUUGAUUUUAUUCUUUAAAUAUAUAUAUAGCAUAGUGGCUUGUUGUGGCGCCUGAAUAGCACAUGGUCACACACUGCUGUGGGAUGGCAUUCCAGCUGUCAACCAUGAGUCAUCCAGUGUAGUUUUAUUGGUCACUCCUGCAUGGAGAGCGUGCCCAAACUCACCCCAAGUGUACGGUUAGAUUGCGGGAGUGUCAAAACUGAGAGAUAAUCUACAAAUUUACAAAAUUAGUAUAUUGGGGGUGUCCCAAGUGUAGCGCUUGACUUGUUUUUUGUAAUACAAAAAAAAAACGCUUGGUGGUUCCAAAAUAUCCAAAAUAUUUAAAACCAUACUUACGUAUUUUGGGCCUAAAGUAAACAUUUUUAAAUGACCUACAAAUACAAAAAUGUGAUGAAGUAUAGUACUAAGGAAUCAUACAUCAUAAAUCACCGACCAUGUUCUCAUACAUUAAUAAACUUGUAAUAUUAUUUGGGAAUUAAAAUUAGACAAAUGACAAAGUUGGAAAAUUUUCAAAAAAAAAUUAGGUUAGUAUAAGAGAGUCAUAAACAUUACGGAAAAUUCUGUACAGGCGUUUAUAACAGUUAAUUGUUUCCAGACCCAAACACAAUGAAUACGAUUCAUUGUCAAUAAAUGUAAUAUUUUGGUAGAGCAUAAAAAUUUUAAAUACUUUUUUUAACUUUAGACAUGAAAUUACACUCUUAUAGUCAUCUUUACUCACACCUUAUCAUUAUUUUAGCUUCAAAUGUAUUUAUUGAAAAAUGAAGCCAAAAAUUUACCACUUCCACACGGAAUGGGAGGAGAACAUAAGGUAAUGUGUCAAUGUUCUGUGUCAUUACUUCCACUUUGUGACCAGAAUGCUACAGAUCACUUGAAUUUCAAUAUGUUUUGAUUAAAAAUAGCCUACAAAAUAGUGAUAAAAAAAAGCCAUCUAUAUAGCGAGGGAGCGAUCAUCGAACCGCAAUAUUUCGAGGGUGAGGAUGACCCAGCAAAAAUGGAAAAACUACUAAAUUGUACCAAAACCCAAAACUUUCCGGAUCUCAAGGAAAUUGACAUAAAUAUGGAAUGAAACAUUGGUGUGGGGAAGUAUUUCCCCGGCGGACCGCUCCCAAACACUAGCCUGCCCCCUCGGCGUUUAUUAUAUUAUAUUAUAUUAUAAAGACGAGACAACACAUUACAAAAGUUUGCCAAGCCACAAUAAUAUAUAAGUGUUGUGAUUUUUGCAGGUUUUUUUCCCAAAAAACAGACUUCUAAAAACUGAAAACAUGAAAAAUAGAAUUUGCGGAUUUCACAGGGAUCUACGUAUAUAACAAAGCUGUUUUUUUCCUGGCAUAUCUACAUGCUUUAAGUCCGAUAUCAAAGUGGUCCCUGCAUCCUUUAUGCAUGUACUAUGCGGUCCUUUGUGGGGAAAAAAACUCCAGCCCCUCAAUGAGUAUCCACAUAUAUAACCAAUGAAAGCCAAGAUUUAGACCUUUUUUUUCAAAGAGAAAUAGAAAUAAAAAAGACAUUCCAGAAUAAUUUUCAGUGGUCAACACAACUUUAGAACAGUAUGCAUGUUUUUUUUAUUUUUAUUUUAAAUAUGCAUUUCUAUGCUUCAACCAUCUACUAUUUACUAUAUCUACUAUACGAGCGUGCUGACUUAGUGGGCGUAUUCUGGGUGACAACUGUCACUCAUGUUCUCUCAUGUGCAAUAAGACCGCUGUCGGUAACGGUAAGCUCCCGCUGUGAGCAUCAAGAGUCAAGUCUUCAUGGAGAAUAGAUGAUUGACAGAUGCACGGGGGGGGGGAUAGUGGGUAACAUUUUCAGUAGCUUAGCGUUUGGCGUGAUGACUUUGUCCGUGUGUUGUUGCUGUUUGUCUUGAACCAAGCUGCUGUAGACAUGUUAGAGGACUGAAGUGAACUUUGUUGUGUCCCAUAAUUUACAAUUGGUCCCUUUUUUUUUUUUUUUUUUUACAUAUAUAUAUAUUUUUGGCUGUUUUUUUUUCUUUCUUUGUGUAUGUGCCUCCUUAGUUGUUUUGGUUUCUCCUCUUCUGGGUUGAUUGAAAUCAUCAUGAGAAGUUAAUGCUGCCGGAUUUAUAAAUGUAUUUUUUACUAAAUUAUUUUUCACCUCUUUUCCCUGUUUAUGAUUCAUUUUUUCCCCUUCAUUUUCAUCUUUGCAGCUUAAUUGGGAUGUUGCACUGCCUGGAUUGUUUUUUUUUAGCAUCCCUCCUGUUCCGCUGCUCCAUUUGACUCGUUAUUGACAACUUACAGAGUCUAAUUAACAGGGUUUGGGCAGCUUGAAGCAUACAGGUGUGCAUUUGACACUGAAGAAUUACAUUUCAUUUUAGUGGGUGUCAAAACAUUUCAAUUAAGGUUAUGUCAAAAUAAUUGUGGUGGGGGGGUAGGGGAGUGGGAACAGGAAAUUAAUUAAACAGUUUCAUGAAUUCAAAGCUUUGAAUUGGACUGUAGUGGCUGGAAAAGUACGAUUGGCCGGUCGGCCAGUCCCGCCUCUCGUCCGAAGUCAGCUGGGAUAGGCUCCAGCAUACCCUUACUACCCUUGUGAGGUAUAAAGAUGGAUGGAUGGGCUGUAAAAGUGUGGCGUUAGACCAUUCGGAAAGAAGAAACAAAAACAUUUUAAAACCUGAAGUGAUUUUGAGGCCUACGGUUAACCACUCGUAUGUAUGGGAUCUGGGGACCAGCAUACCAGCAAAACCAGCAUAUGUUGUUUUUUCGUGCUGGUAUACUGGUCACCAGGCCAGCUAACGUGUGAAACUGUAAUAGUUGCGUGCUGGCAUACUGGUCUGGAGACUAGCAUACCAGCACGAAAACACAACGUAUGCUGGUU